RNAcentral lists this unclassified non-coding RNA (314 nucleotides) under Hevea brasiliensis (rubber tree). Lineage: Eukaryota; Viridiplantae; Streptophyta; Magnoliopsida; Malpighiales; Euphorbiaceae. The record is from RNAcentral.
GUUGAAGACAGUUCAGGCCUGAUGGCAAACCACUGCUAUUUGAAAGGUCUAUUGUGAAGUUGUUGGCAACCAAAUUAACUUGUAAAUUUUGAUCAUUGACCCAGGAAGGUAAGCUGCCAGCUAAAUUAUUGUAUGAAACAUCUAUAUUUAGAAGUGAUGUACUCUUUUGUGCAGGAAGAGGACCAUCUAACUUGUUAUUUCCAAGAAACAAGAAAUUAAGCUGGCUCAAAUUGAAAAGUGUGUCUGGUAUCUGUCCAGUUAUGUUGUUGAAGCUCAAAUCCAACUGUGUCAAAUUCUGGUAUUCUCCAAUAUUG